GCUCAAUUUGGCAGAACAUACAAUGGAGUUUGAGUGAUACAGAGAAGAUAAGCAUGGCCCCUGUGCAAGAAUGACCUGCAAAUUUGUGAAGCUUUCCAUAUUUUU
Molecule: small nuclear RNA, 105 nt
Organism: Phyllostomus discolor (pale spear-nosed bat)
Lineage: Eukaryota; Metazoa; Chordata; Mammalia; Chiroptera; Phyllostomidae
Source: RefSeq, a predicted model, not a curated record